GGUAGACGGGACCGUCGCUCAGAAUCCGCGCCGCCGCCACGAACGUUUCGCGCGCGCCACGACGCUAUCUCUCCGCCGCGCGAGCAGCAGCAGCAGCAGCAGCAGCGGCAUAGCAGCGCGUCUCUUGGCUCUCUCCCUUCUUCUUUCCGCUGUAGCGUACAGUGCGCUGCUGCAACACAUUAUCUCUCCUACUGCAUCUCCAGCUCGAACGUUCUGCUCUCCGAGCCGUUGACGAAGCGUCGCCGCUACGCGGAUGCGUUCCGUCGCUCCGUUAUAGCUCUGUGUUUUCCAAGUGUGUGCGCUGGCAGAUAAGAAUAUACGUAUACCUAGACACGCAGAAGGCGACGCGUUGUCGGAGUGCUGGAGGAGCCACCGACAUUUUUUUGUUAGAUGGGUAGCGCUAGUCAGCAGCAGUACAGUCUGUCCUGGGGCGACUUCGGUUCGUCGCUAACUUCUCAGGUGCAACUGCUUCGAGGACACGGCGAUCUGGUUGAUGUUACUCUAGCAGCUGAAGGUCGGCGUUUCUCGGCUCAUAAAAUCGUCCUCUCUGCAGCAAGUCCAUUCCUCCUUGAGAUAUUGAAGAGUACACCAUGUCAGCAUCCUGUGGUUAUGCUAGCAGGCAUUGGAGCAAAUGAACUGGAGGCUAUUUUAGAAUUCGUGUACCGAGGACAAAUAAGCGUGGAGCCCUCACAGUUGCCUUCGCUGCUGCAGGCAGCUCAAUGCCUCAGCAUUCACGGCCUAACACCACCGACUAUCCUCACACAGAAAGGUGAACAGGUGCCUAUUUCUGCGAUUCCCGGGUGCAACGAUCCUAGUGUAACCAGAGACACAAUGAAUUCAUAUCUACCAAUCCGAAGAAAGAAGAAGAGGAAGAUCUCUGGCGGAGGUGGUAAAUGGCCAAAAAGAGGCUAUUCCAGCCUUGAGACAAGAUCACUCGAUGAUCAUUCUGAGGACAAUAGAUCCGUGGAUUACGGCCACAAAGAUGGAGACGAUGGCAGUCAGUUAGGUGAUGAAGCGAAAGAACGGUCGGAACACGCAAAUCAUCAUCAUCAUAUACCGACGCCUCUGCCGCAACAUCAACUGGUACAUCCGGUUGUCGAACACAACCCGUCAGCUCUGAUAGCCAAUCCAGAGAGCGAACCACAUCUACACAAUCUAAUGCCGAUGCAACCAUACUCACCGCUACAUAUACCGCAGUUUCCUGGAGCCAUCGCGAACGUCGCAUACUCUCCAGGGUCUAGUACUUCGGUACAAUCUCCUCCAGCAGCUCACAAUUCAACAACAACAACGUCCACACAGUCGACGAAGAUACGUGGAGCAUCAGACUGUCCUGGCGUCUGUCCGCUGUGCGGUUCAACGUUACGCCAAGCCAGAAACUUGCGUCGACAUCUGCUGUCUUCGUGCAAGUACCGCUUUACGGCCAACCCGAACCAUCAAAUGAUGUCAUCCGAGUCUAUGCCCAUCGAAGUUAAACCAGAAGUUAAUUUAAGUGGUUACUCUGGACACGAAAGUGGAGGCAGCAGUUGCGAACAGAUCGUGUGCAACCCGAGUCCACUGCCGUCUCCGUCGCCGCAGGCUUCUAACGUUGUGUCCCCACACAGCAACAUUUCAUCACCUACGGUGGCCAGAUGAAAAAAGGAGAAAACCAAGCUCAAGAUAAAGUCGAAGAUUAUACAAUAGUACCUUGGCUUUACUUCGACUUUUGAACAGGAAACGGAUUGAUUGUGCAAAUCAUGCAUAGACUGAUAAUCUCGUUUCAUUUUUUUACUGACACGAGUACUUAUGCCACAUUGGAUAUACAUUUAUAUUUGAUACUGUAUUACCCAUAUCGUAAAUACUAUGUAUUUGUGGCAAAGUGAAAACUAGUGCUUUGGAAAGACUAACGAUGUCGUUUUUAAAGUGACAAUUGUGUGGUUGAAUUGACUGUUGUAAUCAACCAAAUCAAAGACACUUUUAAAUAUUUACCUAAGUCUAGCUUGUAACUUUGAUAAUUUUACCUGGUCUUUAGGACAUGAAACGAAUGUUUAAAAUUUAAGCGUUUUGGUUAAUAAUUAUAUUAAUAAAUCUUCCAGAUUAGUGCAUAAGAAAUAAUGUAAGAUGUAAUGACUAGCUUAUAAGAAAAGUAUCAGAGUAAGGGAUUUGCGCCCAUGGAAUUUUAUAUAUUAUAUUGCUUUUUAAUUAUAUUCAACAAACCAGAUGAUUUUUUGUUUUGUGCGAACAGAUUUGACUCUAAACCCAUAAAAGUCACGAACAGUAGAGUCAUUUGCGUUAUAGUAUACCGUUCACUAUAACACAAUAUCUUCGUUUUGUAGAUUUAUUUAUAUUAUUACUGGUUCUGUAAAUCACUUGUAGUUUUGUUUUAAGAAUUUCUAUUAUUACUUAGUUUGUUAAUCAUUACACCUUUAUUUUAAAAUAGUGCAUCUUAUUAUUUUAUAAACGGCGAAUCAUAAAUAUAAAUAGUUCUAUUAUCACACGAAUCAUUUAUUUAAAAGAUAUAUUAAUUAUGAUCAAACCGUGUACAUUGUAUCUACUCUUACUUGGAUUUGUAAAUAAAAAGCGUAAACACUUAAUAUAAAUUUUAAAAGUUACGAAAGUAUGGUUCUUUUUUAUAACCAGCAACAAAUCGCGUAUUUUUUUGUUUUUAAAGAAAAAUAAAAAAACUCCGUAUCCAAGGUAGAUUACGUCUGUUUUUAUUCUAGGAGAUUGGAACUCGAAAUCAAGAACAUUGUCAGAUCAGCCAGCAACUUGCCCGCUGUGUGGAGCGACAAUAAGACAGUCUAGAAAUUUGAGAAGACACUUGGAACUAUUGCAUUUCGGAGCUGGUUCAGGGAGUAAAUCAGGAUUACGAAUCAAAAAAGAUAAGACGGAUAAAUCGGUACCACUUUCGCUCACACCUAGAUCACCACCUUACUCUAGAGCAUCAUUAACAUUAAGAGACAAUGCUUAUUCAAAGCAAGAUGCUACCGAUUACUCGACGAUGCCUUCCCUCAAUCUGAGCUCAUCAGUUGGUGCUAGCUCGUCAAAUCUCAAUGUCCCAGGUUCGUUCAUGCUCGGAGGAUCCGGAGGCUUAGGUUCCAACGAUCACGGACACGGACAUCCCAGUCACCCUACCAACAACAACCCAGCCCACUCGAUGUCCGCGUGUCCACCUUCGUCAAUGACCCCGCACAACAAUAGCAUAUACUCGUCCGACAGCAUGUUGAGCAGUUUAUUUCCGACGUUGCCCACGUUACCAACCUUGUCCUCACCGCACGAUAUGUUUCGCCACUCAGAAUUUUUCCGGGCCAACAUGGGCUACAGCCAGGACCCGUCAAGACAGCAACACCCCGGCAGGCACAUGCAACGCACAGACGUUACAUGAGAUCAGAAGUAUAGAUGAUAGCGUUCGAGGGAUCAGUACUAUUGAUCCAUCGUACUUCGUCGAGGGUAAAAAGCUGUUUAUGAGAUUGUGAUAAUCGAGAGCUGAGUGUGUACUUGGAACAGUGCGUUUCGAAUCGUUGAUUUAAGGGAAUCUCUAAACUGAUGUGUACCGCAGAAAAAUAUAUUAUAUUUGUACAAUGAAUAUAUGAAUAUCAAGAAACUGGAAGUGAAAUGCAUUUCUAUAUACGUAUAAAUAAACUGGUGAAGCAAAGUUCCAAGUAAAUAUUCAGCUCGAAGAUCGCUCUCUGUCACUCAUUUAAAAGGAAUUCUUAAAAAAGCAAACAUUUUUAUUAAAAACGAGUCGCAUAAACAAAUUUUUGCCGACGAUGCUUUAAAUGACAGUCAUGGACUAUAUUUUUAAAUUGACAUAGAAUACGUACGAAAGAAAACAAUAACUCAUAUAAAUAACAAUUGUAAUUGUAGCUAUUAAUGAACGCGCGAAGGAUUUUCCACGAGGUUUAAACAACGAGAUUUAUCUCUUCAGUUCCGUGUUUCGUGCGCCCUAUUGUAAAAGGCCAAUUUCGAUUUGAAAUCCUCUCGAGCUCACCUUUCAGGAGCUUCAAGAGGUCAUCCAAGUAUCUCAGUUCGUAAACUUCGUUUCGAAGUUUGUUUAUGUCUUCUGAUAAAUGAUUAACCUUCCAUUCGUCUAUCUGUUGAGAUAAUUUUUUUUUAAUUACAUUUUAUAUUGUAAAGUUUGAUAUAAAUUUGGUAUAAAAGAGAAACUUCGGUCGCGCACUAAUGAUUCUUCCGCACUAUUGUUAAGUUUUAAGUUGCUUAAUUAAACUUAGAGCAUCCUACAUUUUAUUAUAUUAAUCGCUCGAUAUAGGCCAUGUUCCAAUCAUACUCAUUUAUUAUUUAAUUUUGUAUUAAAUAAUAUACGUAAUAAUAAACAAUUCUUAUAAAAUUCAA
Nasonia vitripennis (jewel wasp) is the source of this 4329-nucleotide RNA transcript. It is a transcript of the gene named transcription factor GAGA, with no coding region annotated. The record is from RefSeq and is a predicted model, not a curated record. The transcript has 6 exons. NCBI's taxonomy places the organism in Eukaryota, Metazoa, Arthropoda, Insecta, Hymenoptera, Pteromalidae.